Molecule: ribosomal RNA, 459 nt
Filed under: uncultured bacterium
Lineage: Bacteria
Description: SSU rRNA
Rfam family: Bacterial small subunit ribosomal RNA
Source: RNAcentral
AGAAUCAACGCUGGCGGCGUGCCUAACACAUGCAAGUCGAACGAGAAAGUGGAGCAAUCCAUGAGUAAAGUGGCGCACGGGUGAGUAACACGUGACUAACCUACCCUUGAGUGGGGGAUAACCUAGAGAAAUCUGGGCUAAUACCGCAUAAUACCUUCGGGUCAAAGGAGCAAUUCGCUUAAGGAGGGGGUCGCGGCCGAUUAGUUAGUUGGCGGGGUAAUGGCCCACCAAGACUAUGAUCGGUAUCCGGCCUGAGAGGGCGCACGGACACACUGGAACUGAAACACGGUCCAGACUCCUACGGGAGGCAGCAGUGGGAAUUUUGCGCAAUGGGGGAAACCCUGGACGCAGCAACGCCGCGUGGAGGAUGAAGUCCCUUGGGACGUAAACUCCUUUCGAUCGGGACGAUAAUGACGGUACCGAGAGAAGAAGCCCGGCUAACUUCGCGCCAGCAGCCGC